GUAGGUGGCAAGCGUUGUCCGGAAUUAUUGGGCGUAAAGCGCGCGCAGGUGGCUCUUUAAGUCUGAUGUGAAAGCCCCCGGCUCAACCGGGGAGGGUCAUUGGAAACUGGGGAACUUGAGUGCAGGAGAGGAAAGUGGAAUUCCACGUGUAGCGGUGAAAUGCGUAGAUAUAUGGAGGAACACCAGUGGCGAAGGCGACUUUCUGGCCUGUAACUGACACUGAGGCGCGAAAGCGUGGGGAGCAAACAGGGAUUAGAUACCCUGGUAGUCCACGCCGUAAACGAUGAGUGCUAAGUGUUGGGGGGGUUUCCCGCCCCUCAGUGCUGCAGCUAACGCAUUAAGCACUCCGCCUGGGGAUACGGUCGCAAGACUG
Molecule: ribosomal RNA, 373 nt
Filed under: uncultured organism
Description: partial 16S ribosomal RNA
Rfam family: Bacterial small subunit ribosomal RNA
Source: RNAcentral